RNAcentral lists this ribosomal RNA (497 nucleotides) under uncultured bacterium. RNAcentral's name for it is "partial 16S ribosomal RNA". It matches the Rfam family "Bacterial small subunit ribosomal RNA", at positions 28 to 507 of the family's 1533-position model. The record is from RNAcentral.
GAUGAACGCUGGCGGCGUGCCUAAUACAUGCAAGUCGAGCGAACAGACGAGGAGCUUGCUCCUCUGACGUUAGCGGCGGACGGGUGAGUAACACGUGGAUAACCUACCUAUAAGACUGGGAUAACUUCGGGAAACCGGAUCUAAUACCGGAUAAUAUAUUGAACGGCAUGGUUCAAUAGUGAAAGACGGUUUUGCUGUCACUUAUAGAUGGAUCCGGGUCGCAUUAGCUAGUUGGUAAGGUAACGGCUUACCAAGGCGACGAUGCGUAGCCGACCUGAGAGGGUGAUCGGCCACACUGGAACUGAGACACGGUCCAGACUCCUACGGGAGGCAGCAGUAGGGAAUCUUCCGCAAUGGGCGAAAGCUUGACGGAGCAACGCCGCGUGAGUGAUGAAGGUCUUCGGAUCGUAAAACUCUGUUAUUAGGGAAGAACAAAUGUGUAAGUAACUAUGCACGUCUUGACGGUACCUAAUCAGAAAGCCACGGCUAACUACGUG